RNAcentral lists this non-coding RNA (204 nucleotides) under Coprobacillus sp. RNAcentral describes it as "T-box sequence". It matches the Rfam family "T-box leader". Rfam says of the family: Uncharged tRNA acts as the effector for transcription antitermination of genes in the T-box leader family. T-boxes are found upstream of many aminoacyl-tRNA synthetase genes and some amino acid biosynthetic genes usually in Gram-positive bacteria. The anticodon of a specific tRNA base pairs to a specifier sequence within the T-box motif, and the NCCA acceptor tail of the tRNA base pairs to a conserved bulge in the T-box antiterminator hairpin. Lineage: Bacteria; Bacillati; Bacillota; Erysipelotrichia; Erysipelotrichales; Coprobacillaceae. The record is from RNAcentral.
UUAACUACGAAGAUGGAGACAGUUUAUAAAGGAAACUUAGAGAGAACUUGUGGCUGGUGAAAACAAGGAAGUCAAAUUUAUAAUGAAUCACUCCUGAGUAGCGUCCUGAAGAUAAGUAGGGAUUAGCCGUCAGUCGCGUUAAGACAUUGAGAGCAUAUCUAUGUGAUAUGAAAAAAGGUGGUACCGCGUUUAAACGUCCUUUAU